AGUGAACGCUGGCGGUAGGCCUAACACAUGCAAGUCGAACGGCAGCACCGUAUGAGCUUGCUCUUACGGGUGGCGAGUGGCGGAUGGGUGAGGAAUACAUCGGACUCUACUUUUUCGUGGGGGAUAACGUAGGGAAACUUACGCUAAUACCGCAUACGACCUACGGGUGAAAGCAGGGGAUCUUCGGACCUUGCGCGAUUGAAUGAGCCGAUGUCGGAUUAGCUAGUUGGCGGGGUAAAGGCCCACCAAGGCGACGAUCCGUAGCUGGUCUGAGAGGAUGAUCAGCCACACUGGAACUGAGAGACGGUCCAGACUCCUACGGGAGGCAGCAGUGGGGAAUAUUGGACGAUGGGCGCAAGCCUGAUCCAGCCAUGCCGCGUGGGUGAAGAAGGGCUUCGGGUUGUAAAACCCUUUUGUUGGGAAAGAACAGCAGCAGGUUAAUACCAGGCUGUUCUGACGGUACCCAAAGAAGAAGCACCGGCUAACUUCGUG
This 492-nucleotide ribosomal RNA is filed under the name uncultured bacterium. Its description in RNAcentral is "partial 16S ribosomal RNA". It matches the Rfam family "Bacterial small subunit ribosomal RNA", at positions 29 to 507 of the family's 1533-position model. The record is from RNAcentral.